Molecule: ribosomal RNA, 107 nt
Filed under: Parcubacteria group bacterium SW_6_46_9
Lineage: Bacteria
Source: RNAcentral
GCUGGUGCUUACGCGAAGGGGAUACACCCGUUUCCAUUCCGAACACGGAAGUUAAGUCCUUCAGCACCGAUGAUAGCCAUUUAGGUAAAAGUAGGUCGGCGCCAGCA